CUCCCUCUCUUUGCCUUUUGGCUUAGAUCAAGUGCAGUAGCCGUUCUUCUUAGUUUAAUCUCUAGGACGUGCCCACGGGUACAUCGAGAUUAACCCAGUUUUUGGAACAUCGGGUUGGAGGUCUAUGAGCACAGCUUACAUCUCCGACCACAGUGUCGCCAGUAUUGCACUGUCUCUGGCUGACGCGAACUUCG
Molecule: small nuclear RNA, 194 nt
Filed under: Neofusicoccum parvum UCRNP2
Lineage: Eukaryota; Fungi; Ascomycota; Dothideomycetes; Botryosphaeriales; Botryosphaeriaceae
Description: U2 spliceosomal RNA
Rfam family: U2 spliceosomal RNA
About the family: U2 is a small nuclear RNA (snRNA) component of the spliceosome (involved in pre-mRNA splicing). Complementary binding between U2 snRNA (in an area lying towards the 5' end but 3' to hairpin I) and the branchpoint sequence (BPS) of the intron results the bulging out of an unpaired adenosine, on the BPS, which initiates a nucleophilic attack at the intronic 5' splice site, thus starting the first of two transesterification reactions that mediate splicing.
Source: Rfam by way of RNAcentral